UACAGAGGGUGCGAGCGUUAAUCGGAAUUACUGGGCGUAAAGCGCGCGUAGGCGGCUUUUCAAGUCGAUUGUGAAAUCCCCGGGCUUAACCUGGGAACUGCAGUCGAGACUGUCUAGCUAGAGUAUGGGAGAGGGAAGUGGAAUUUCAGGUGUAGCGGUGAAAUGCGUAGAUAUCUGAAGGAACAUCAGUGGCGAAAGCGACUUCCUGGACCGAUACUGACGCUCAUGUGCGAAAGCGUGGGGAGCAAACAGG
RNAcentral lists this ribosomal RNA (253 nucleotides) under uncultured bacterium. RNAcentral's name for it is "partial 16S ribosomal RNA". It matches the Rfam family "Bacterial small subunit ribosomal RNA", at positions 524 to 776 of the family's 1533-position model. The record is from RNAcentral.